Non-coding RNA from Podarcis lilfordi (Lilford's wall lizard), 74 nucleotides. The record is from the annotation of a GenBank genome assembly. NCBI's taxonomy places the organism in Eukaryota, Metazoa, Chordata, Lepidosauria, Squamata, Lacertidae.
GCCUGGGUAGCUCAGUUGGUUAGAGCAUGGUGCUCAUAAUGGCAAGGUUGCAGGUUUGAUCCCUGUAUGGGACA